AUGCAGUCGAGCGGCAGCGACUUAACUGAACCUUCGGGGAACGUUAAGGGCGGCGAGCGGCGGACGGGUGAGUAAUGCCUGGGAAUAUGCCCUGAUGUGGGGGAUAACUAUUGGAAACGAUAGCUAAUACCGCAUAAUCUCUUCGGAGCAAAGAGGGGGACCUUCGGGCCUCUCGCGUCAGGAUUAGCCCAGGUGGGAUUAGCUUGUUGGUGAGGUAAUGGCUCACCAAGGCAACGAUCCCUAGCUGGUCUGAGAGGAUGAUCAGCCACACUGGAACUGAGACACGGUCCAGACUCCUACGGGAGGCAGCAGUGGGGAAUAUUGCACAAUGGGGGAAACCCUGAUGCAGCCAUGCCGCGUGUGUGAAGAAGGCCUUCGGGUUGUAAAGCACUUUCAGUAGGGAGGAAGGUAGUGUAGUUAACACCUGCAUUAUUUGACGUUACCUACAGAAGAAGCACCGGCUAACUCCGUGCCAGCAGCCGCGGUAAUACGGAGGGUGCGAGCGUUAAUCGGAAUUACUGGGCGUAAAGCGCAUGCAGG
Molecule: ribosomal RNA, 540 nt
Filed under: Photobacterium damselae subsp. damselae
Lineage: Bacteria; Pseudomonadati; Pseudomonadota; Gammaproteobacteria; Vibrionales; Vibrionaceae
Description: bacterial SSU rRNA
Rfam family: Bacterial small subunit ribosomal RNA
Source: RNAcentral